CAAAAAUCAUUAUCUAAAAAUAUUUAUCGCAAGCCGGACAGGAACUAUACUAUUCUGUAGCAACGAUUGAUAUAUUAGACUGGAACACAAGUCGCAGAAUUUAAACGAUCGGAUAUUUGAUUUGUGCGAUACCGCAUCACAUAGACGGUCCAUAAAACGCAUCAACAUAAUCGUCGCACACCUCCGCUUAGUCGGCGGCUCAUAAGACGAAUUUUUCAAUAUAGCCAUAUAGGUCUAAGAAUAAACUGCCUCCGUGAAAAUGUGGACUUGGUAGAAUAUAUAGCGCGAACGUGACUGCAGGAAGAAUGGUCUGAAAUCACGAACGUCGAUGAAAAUAUUGUUGUCGAAUUCAAACACGCGUUUGAAAUCGAUAUCCCGAUAUUAAAAACUUACUAUCAAAAAUGUACCAUCUUUCGGCUGGAGUUAAACCGUUUAACGAAGUGUUUUUAGUCAAGAACGAACGGGCCAACAAAAUUAACUUCCUACUCAUACGCCUAUGCAGAGA
This is a long non-coding RNA of Aphis gossypii (cotton aphid), 505 nucleotides long. RefSeq lists it as uncharacterized. The record is from RefSeq and is a predicted model, not a curated record. Lineage: Eukaryota; Metazoa; Arthropoda; Insecta; Hemiptera; Aphididae. The transcript is spliced from 4 exons.